This 253-nucleotide ribosomal RNA is filed under the name uncultured bacterium. Its description in RNAcentral is "partial 16S ribosomal RNA". It matches the Rfam family "Bacterial small subunit ribosomal RNA", at positions 524 to 776 of the family's 1533-position model. The record is from RNAcentral.
UACAGAGGUCUCAAGCGUUGUUCGGAUUCAUUGGGCGUAAAGGGUGCGUAGGCGGCGCGGUAAGUCGGAUGUGAAAUCUCGGGGCUUAACUCCGAAACUGCAUUCGAUACUACCGUGCUUGAGGACUGGAGGGGAGACUGGAAUUUACGGUGUAGCGGUGAAAUGCGUAGAUAUCGUAAGGAAGACCAGUGGCGAAGGCGGGUCUCUGGACAGUUCCUGACGCUGAGGCACGAAGGCCAGGGGAGCAAACGGG